CGCACAUUGCGCCCUCUGGUAUUCCGGGGGGCACGCCUGUUCGAGCGUCAUUUGUACCAAUCGAGCCUGCUCGGCAUUGGGCGCCGCCCCUCCAAGGGCGCACCCGAAAGGUAGCGGCGCGGUCGCCGGGCGAGGAACGCACUGGAAAAACACCGUCUCCUGUCGUCCCGCGGCCGUCGCCGGAAUCGGGUCCCUCGUGGCCCACCCCCAAUGAAUUGACCUCGGAUCAGGCGAGAAUACCCGCUGAACUUAA
Molecule: unclassified non-coding RNA, 253 nt
Filed under: Coenogonium sp.
Lineage: Eukaryota; Fungi; Ascomycota; Lecanoromycetes; Ostropales; Coenogoniaceae
Description: partial contains 5.8S ribosomal RNA, internal transcribed spacer 2, and large subunit ribosomal RNA
Source: RNAcentral